This 541-nucleotide ribosomal RNA is filed under the name uncultured archaeon. RNAcentral's name for it is "bacterial SSU rRNA". It matches the Rfam family "Bacterial small subunit ribosomal RNA", at positions 509 to 1050 of the family's 1533-position model. The record is from RNAcentral.
CAGCCGCCGCGGUAAUACGUAGGGGGCAAGCGUUGUCCGGAAUGACUGGGCGUAAAGGGAGUGUAGGCGGCAAAGCAAGUUAUAUGUGAAAGCCCGUGGCUCAACCACGGAAUUGCAUAUAAAACUGCUUAGCUAGAGUGUGGGAGAGGUAAGUGGAAUUCCUAGUGUAGCGGUGGAAUGCGUAGAUAUUAGGAGGAACACCGGUGGCGAAAGCGGCUUACUGGAACAUAACUGACGCUGAGGCUCGAAAGCGUGGGGAGCAAACAGGAUUAGAUACCCUGGUAGUCCACGCCCUAAACGAUGGAUACUAGACGAGGGGGACCUUAAGUCUUCCGUGUCGCAGCUAACGCACUAAGUAUCCCGCCUGGGGAGUACGGCCGCAAGGCUAAAACUCAAAGAAAUUGACGGGGACCCGCACAAGCAGCGGAGCAUGUGGAUUAAUUCGAAGCAACGCGAAGAACCUUACCAAGGCUUGACAUCGGAUGCAUAGUAUGGAAACAUAUAAAGCCCUUCGGGGCAUCCAGACAGGUGGUGCAUGGCC